UCCUACGGGAGGCAGCAGUAGGGAAUAUUGGACAAUGGGUGCAAGCCUGAUCCAGCCAUGCCGCGUGCAGGAAGAAGGCCUUCUGGGUUGUAAACUGCUUUUGCCAGGGGAUAAAAAGCCCGUGCGCGGGAAAUUGAAGGUACCUGGUGAAUAAGCCACGGCUAACUACGUGCCAGCAGCCGCGGUAAUACGUAGGUGGCAAGCGUUGUCCGGAUUUAUUGGGUUUAAAGGGUGCGUAGGCGGUCUUGUAAGUCAGUGCUGAAAUAUCCCGGCUUAACCGGGAGGGUGGCAUUGAUACUGCAGGACUUGAGUGAAGUCGAGGUAGGCGGAAUUGACGGUGUAGCGGUGAAAUGCUUAGAUAUCGUCAAGAACACCGAUAGUGUAGACAGCUUACUAGGCUUUAACUGACGCUGAGGCACGAAAGUGUGGGGAUCAAACAGGAUUAGAUACCCUGGUAGUCCACACUGUAAACGUUGAUGACUCGCUGUUGGCGAUACACAGUCAGCGGCUGAGAGAAAUCGUUAAGUCAUCCACCUGGGGAGUACGCCGGCAACGGUGAAACUCAAAGGAAUUGACGGA
This 579-nucleotide ribosomal RNA is filed under the name uncultured Bacteroidota bacterium. RNAcentral describes it as "bacterial SSU rRNA". It matches the Rfam family "Bacterial small subunit ribosomal RNA", at positions 337 to 917 of the family's 1533-position model. RNAcentral also lists the same sequence under 2 other names. Lineage: Bacteria; Pseudomonadati; Bacteroidota. The record is from RNAcentral.